GAGCCCCCCUCCCCGCCGCGCCUCUUAAAGGGGACGCCGCGCCCCGCCUGGUGUGAGGCACCCACAUGAAGGAGGAAUGUCUAGAGGCUGAUUCAUCACACCUCACACCAGAAUUAUGCACCACAGAUGCCCACAUCUCAGGGCUAACAUUGGAGAGUUCACCAAAACCAUCAUGAAAUUUUGAUAUCCAGAAUGCUUGAUAGUCAUCUUGAUCUGCAAUAAUGACUUUGUAAUAGAUGUAAUGAAGUGGAAUAACUGCAUCUUGUCAACAUUGUUAUUAACUUUA
Calypte anna (Anna's hummingbird) is the source of this 286-nucleotide long non-coding RNA. RefSeq lists it as uncharacterized. The transcript has 3 exons. NCBI's taxonomy places the organism in Eukaryota, Metazoa, Chordata, Aves, Apodiformes, Trochilidae. The record is from RefSeq and is a predicted model, not a curated record.